UUAUCCAAUCGUCUCCCCCGAGAUGCAUCUGCAUCCAGCUCCUUACUUCUCUCGUUCCAUCCCUCUUUCUCAUCCCUGUGCUUCCACUGAUAUGCAGCUCUGGAUGUGAAGCCUCCAAAGUCGCUGGUGCCCCCCGUUCCGCCGGAGCCAGCGCCGCCACCGGAUCCCGUCCCCUCCCCUCCCAUCCUCUCUGUGUGUGCAUGUUUCUCUCAUUUCCUCAUAUCGUUCUAUGCUUCCAGGUCGUCGGCGCACGCCCGGCCAUGGCGCGGUCGCGGCAGACCUUGAGCUGGAUCCGCUCCCCGUACAGCUUGCACGCCAGCGUCCUCUUGUAGUCCUUCCCCUUGGAGGGCGACCCCUCGUCGGCGCCAUCGGCCAGGUUCUCCGACGAGGUCCGCAUGUGCACGCGUCGCGCGAUGGACGUUGACAUCAGGGGACUCUCCCUCCCGUCCGUGUCCUCGAGCUCCGCCUUUUCCUGCGGCUCUGACGCAGGCUGCUGCACAUCCUCUUGGUGGUCUUGUCCGUCAGACGAACAGGGCAACAAUCCAAUCUCUUUUCCUCAACCGCAGUCCGCAUCAGUACUGAAUGUGAAGCCAAGUUGCUGACACACCGUUCCAGACCACCAGAUUGGGAGUGCCGCCGCCGGAUCCUGUCCCCAUCACGCCUGCGGUCAAGAACCGGGACAUCGUCGCACGCCCAUCCCCGUCCCCAACGCUCCCGUGCCCGCGCCGUCGAUGUUGUCGUAAUUUCAGCAUCAUUCGAAUAUGUGUGGAUUUGGCCACUUCCUUGCCUUUUGGGUCAACGACAGAGUUUGCGUAUGUGCGUGAUGGCUGGAUCUGGAUGUACAAGCAGAAACUCUGUUAAGGGGACUACGGGUUGAAUAUUAAAAAUGCAGGGCCCUUUUUGUAAAACCGAAGCGUUUUCCUUGGUUCACUUAACCAGGGACCGCGGGU
Molecule: long non-coding RNA, 950 nt
Organism: Triticum dicoccoides
Lineage: Eukaryota; Viridiplantae; Streptophyta; Magnoliopsida; Poales; Poaceae
Exons: 2
Source: RefSeq, a predicted model, not a curated record